This 3290-nucleotide long non-coding RNA is filed under the name Homo sapiens (human). RNAcentral's name for it is "HSALNT0205724". Lineage: Eukaryota; Metazoa; Chordata; Mammalia; Primates; Hominidae. The record is from RNAcentral.
UAAGAAUGGGUCUUGUGCCUGGAACGCUUCCUUCUUAAGAUACGAAGAGUUUUCACAGCCUGUGCUGGGCUGUUACCUUGUGUGGGAAUAUCUUUCCCUGUUUCAGACUCAGCAUGUACCCCUUUGUUCUGCUGGUGUGUACAUCAUGUGGAUAACCCCACUGUUAUACCUGUGCCUCAUGGGGAGGGGUUGGGGUCCUGCUAAAGCACAAGAUGGGUAUGUGCAGGCCACGGGCCCUGUGCCAGCUGCUGGGAGGAACUUGCUGGUUUUGGGGCACCAACACCCUCUACUGAAGCUGAUCUUGCUCCGUCUCCUUCCUACGUGGGGAACGCCUUCUUCCAUCUAGUUAGUGCCAGGCGGCAUUUUGUUCUCCUUGGUGACUCUGAUGUGAAGAGGCAGUGGGCGGAGUGCUUGGACUUCUGCUCCUGGUGACAGGCAACAGAACAGGACUUCUGCUCCAGGUCCUGUGCUAAGUCCUUGAAAUGUAUUAUCAUACUCCUCAUAAAACAUUUUAAGGUGUUCCAGACACUCUGCUGGGCAUUGGAUGUACAAAGAUCACACAACACAGUGCCUUCUGCAAAUAAUCGCACAGUCCAUUGGAGGAAACAGUCAUUUGAAUAGUCAAUUAUAAAGCAAUGAUAGGGACAUAUGGAGGGCUUUAUGGAAACACGGAUAAUGGGCUCUGUUAUGGGUUGAAUUGUGUCCUCCUCUCAAAGUCAUAUGUUGAAAUCCUAGUCCCCAGUACCCCAGAAUGUCACCUUAUUUGGAAAUGGGGUUUUUCAAGAUGUAAUCAAGUUAAAAUGAAGUUAAUUAUGGUGGGCCCUUAUCCAAUAAGGCUGAUCUCCUUAUAAAAAGGGGAAUUUGGGGGACAGGCACACACUGAGGAGAAGAACAUGAGAAGAUGAAAGGAGAGAUGGGAGUGAUGCUUCUACAAACUGGGAACUCUAAGGAUCACCAGCAAAUCACAAAAGCUAGGUGAGGAGCUUCGAACGGAUUCUUCUUCACAGCUCUCAGAAGGAAACAACCCUGCCAACAACCUUGACCUUGACUUGUACCCUCCAGGACUGUGGGACAUAAAUUUCUGUGGUUUAAGCUAUCUAGUUUUAGGUGCCUUUUAAUGGCAGCUCUAGGAAACUAGUACUGGGUCUUAACUCAGCUUUGGGGAAAGGGAUCAGAGAAGGCUGCCGGGAGGAGAUGACAGAGUGAACUGUAAUAGACAGAGCUGAUUGAAUAGCAAGUUGCCAAGUGAAAGGGUUGGGGAAGGGUGUCAAGGUGGCAUUCCAGGUGGCUAGGGAGGCAACAUGGGCAGUAAAGUAUUGAGGUGAGAAGCAGCUGGUGAGUGAGGAAUUUGGUGAGGUUUGAGAGUGGUCUCAAGUAGGAAGUAGGAAGAGACAGGAUACGCCAAGCACAGGGCUUGGGGAUGUGCACCAGUGCACAAGGCCAACGAAGACAAGUUUCCUGACCCCGUGGAGAGGACACUUACAUCCCACACUGGGAAGCCACAGUGGAGCAACUAACCUCACGUCACUCUCCUGUUCCCAGUCACCACUGAGCUCUGGUGGUUGGACCAGUGACUUAGUUCCACAAACUUGGUGCCUUGAUGGGGAAAAGUCCUUGUUCAGCCAUGAAAGAAGCACCACAUUUCUGGACUGCUCAAGUUCCAUUCUUGGGUACUCGAAGGUCUCACUGCUCUAUCUGGGGUUUCCUUUCUUUCAGAGAAAAUGAUUUCUUCCCCUUUAUCAUUAAGCAAAAACUCCAAGAUGAUGCUAAUUAUAAGGACAUUUAAGCAUCAUUUAAGGUGAUCACAUCCUGAUUCCGGGACAUUUGUGUCUGAAUUUCCUCACAACAGGAAUACUGCCAGUGAGGAGGCUUUCCCUUAGCCAUUACACUUUACAAAAUCUAGCUCAAAAGGUCAGAAGCUGUUCCUGUAAAGGCUGCCUGAUGUUCCGUGCUCUGUCCUCCUUACAGGAUUCAGGGCGCUUUUGUAUAAAAGUUUCCACCUCUGGUAGACAUUUCAAAAGACUCUUGUGAAAAGAAUAUCUGGAAGCAUAUAGCCAGAAAUGCACAGAGAUUUAAUCUGAUUAAUUAAGAAGUUUUUUUAUUUUAAUAUCAACCCAACUUUUAUAUAAUCUUUAAAAAUUCUAGUGCUUCUGGAUCAAAGGUGAGGUUAUUCACCCCAGGAGGAUCUUUAAAUUGAGGAGUAUUUGUAACCUUUUUCUUUUAGAUUUAUUUAAAAUUAAGCCUAAAGUAAAAUGUUAAACACUAAAAUAUAAUGGUUUUUGCCUUCAUAAAAUUUAUUUCAGAGCACAUUUGAAUCAUACAUUAAAUAUCCUGGUUACGAGUACCAUAUGUUUCUUCUGAAAAUGGAAGAAUUGGCUUAUAAUCCAAGUGUCUUCUUAAUUUUGUUUUUUUAAAAAUGACGUGAUUAUAUUCAGAUGAAGAAUGUAUGUAUAUUUAAAGUCUAAUUCUUUGUUCAAAAGAAUUAAAUGGUCCAUACAAAUACAUAGUUUAAGAUAAUUAAGGUUUACCUGUACACUAGAGAAAAGUUAAUGACAAUUAAAUGACAUUCCUGCAACACACUACACUGACAUUUACAUUGAUCAGAUACUUGUUAGGGGAAGCAGAGGUACUUGGUUCUAUGGACAUGUCCCCUCUAAAAUUCAUGUUGAAACUUAAUUCCCAUUGUAUUAAGAGGCGAGACCUUCUGGGAAGUGAUUACCUUAUGAGGGAGGCUCUGCCCUCAAGAAUAAGAUUGGCAACUUUAUAAAAGGGCUGGAGAGGCUGAAUGCAGUGGCUCAUGCUUGUCAUCCCAGAGCUUUGGGAGGCCCAGAGGACCACUUGGGACAAGGAGUUUGAGAUGAGCUUGGGCAACAUAGCAAGACCCCAUCUGUACACAAAAAAUACAAAAUUAGCCAGGUCUGAUGGCAUGUGCCUGUAGCUCCAGGUACUUGGGAAGGCUGAGGUGGAAGGAUCCCUUGAGCCCAGGAGUUUGAGAUUGCAGUGAGCUAUGAUCACACCACUGCAUUUCAGCCUGGGUGAGAGAGUGAGACCCUAUCUCUAAAAAAAUAAAAUAAAAAAAUAAAUAAUAUAAAGGGUGGAGAGAACUAGUGAUCAUUCCUUUUGCCCCUCCACCUUCUGCCAGGUGGGGAUGCUACCAGUAGGAGAGCUGUAAAGGAGCCGGCCCCCACCAGACACUGAACCUGCUGAUGUCUUAUCUUGGACUUUCUAUCCUCUAGAACCAUGAGGAAUAAAUUUUGUUCUUUAUAAAUUACCUAGUCUCAGGUAUUUUG